This 460-nucleotide ribosomal RNA is filed under the name uncultured bacterium. RNAcentral describes it as "partial 16S ribosomal RNA". It matches the Rfam family "Bacterial small subunit ribosomal RNA", at positions 338 to 795 of the family's 1533-position model. The record is from RNAcentral.
CCUACGGGAGGCAGCAGUGAGGAAUAUUGGUCAAUGGGCGAGAGCCUGAACCAGCCAAGUCGCGUGAAGGAUGAAGGAUCUAUGGUUUGUAAACUUCUUUUAUAUGGGAAUAAAGUGAGGAACGUGUUCUUUUUUGUAUGUACCAUAUGAAUACGCAUCGGCUAACUCCGUGCCAGCAGCCGCGGUAAUACGGAGGAUGCGAGCGUUAUCCGGAUUUAUUGGGUUUAAAGGGUGCGUAGGUGGUUAAUUAAGUCAGCGGUGAAAGGUUGUGGCUUAACCAGAAAAUUGCCGUUGAUACUGGUUGACUAGAGUAUAUUUGAGGUAGGCGGAAUGUGUGGUGUAGCGGUGAAAUGCAUAGAUAUCACGCAGAACUCCGAUUGCGAAGGCAGCUUACUAAACUAUAACUGACGCUGAAGCACGAAAGCGUGGGGAUCAAACAGGAUUAGAUACCCUAGUAGUC